UUUUGCCGACUGAGGGUUGUAACUCGGAGAAGUAGGGCUGUAGCUCGGUGAAGUUGGGCUGUAACUUGGUGAUGUUGGGCUGUAACCAGGAGAUGUGGGGCUAUAAGCUGGUGAAGUUGGGCUGUAGGAAGGAGAUGUGGGGCUGUAAGAAGGUGAAGUUGGGCUGUAGGAUGGUGAUGUUGGGCUGUAUGAAGGAGAGGUCGGGCUAUAAGAUGGUGAGGUGGGGCUGUAUGCAGGGGAAGUGGGGCUAUAUGCAGGUGAUGUGGGGCUAUAAACAGGAGAGGUUGGACUAUAACUAGGUGAUGUAGGGCUGUAACUGGGCGAAGUGGGGCUGUAGCUGGGAGAUGUAGGGCUAUAAGAUGGAGAAGUAGGGCUAUAAGAUGGGGAAGUGGGGCUAUAGCUGGGAGAAGUGGGUGAAUACGAAGGGCUUGUAGGUGAAUAUGCAGGACUUGUUGGGCUAUAACCAGGAGAACUUGGACUGUAGGUUGGAGAUGUGGGGCUGUAGCCAGGAGAUGUGGGGCUGUAGCCAGGUGAUGUGGGGCUGUAACCAGGUGACGUCGGGCUGUAUCCUGGUGACGAGGGACUGUAUCCAGGAGAAGAAGGGCUGUAUCCCGGAGAUGAAGCAGGCGAGAAGGCCAUACCACCAACAUAGGGUGAAAACUGAGCAUCUGUAGUUGGAGACAGCCGGAGGUUUGGGCU
This 699-nucleotide long non-coding RNA is filed under the name Eucalyptus grandis. Its description in RNAcentral is "long non-coding RNA (EGRA_LNC005723)". Lineage: Eukaryota; Viridiplantae; Streptophyta; Magnoliopsida; Myrtales; Myrtaceae. The record is from RNAcentral.